CUUGGAUGCCGGAUCAAUUAUUCAUGCUCUUUGUUUCAGCCCCAACAGGUACUGGCUCUGUGCUGCAACUGAGAGCAGUAUUAAGAUCUGGGAUUUGGAGAGCAAAAGUAUUGUGGAAGACUUGAAAGUCGAUUUAAAAACCGAGGCGGAGAAAACUGAUGACACCCAUGCUGCUACUGCCAACAAGAUUAAGGUUAUUUACUGCACAAGUUUGAGCUGGAGCGCAGAUGGGAGCACAUUGUUUGGUGGCUACACAGAUGGAGUCGUCAGAGUUUGGGGAAUUGGUCGUUACUAGAAAUAUCCAUCAUGAUUAUUUGCAGACGCACUUUUUUGAUUCUAAUUUGAGAAGAAACUUGUUAAACCUUAAUCCUUUACAAGUAUCAGUAUUUAGAUUUUUCUUUAGGGUUUUGCUGGGAGUGAUGAUGAAUCAUUUGGUUUUUAAUUUAAUGUUGAAGAUGACUUUGAGGUCAACAAUGUUUUGUCUUUGAGAUAUGCCAAAAUUCAGAGGUUUAAAG
This 515-nucleotide unclassified non-coding RNA is filed under the name Hevea brasiliensis (rubber tree). The record is from RNAcentral. Lineage: Eukaryota; Viridiplantae; Streptophyta; Magnoliopsida; Malpighiales; Euphorbiaceae.